GAUGAACGCUGGCGGCGUGGAUAAGGCAUGCAAGUCGAACGGUCCUUCGGGAUAGUGGCGGACGGGUGAGUAACACGUGGGAACGUACCCUUAGGUUCGGAACAACACAGGGAAACUUGUGCUAAUACCGGAUGAGCCCUUCGGGGGAAAGAUUUAUCGCCUUUGGAGCGGCCCGCGUCUGAUUAGCUAGUUGGUGAGGUAAUGGCUCACCAAGGCGACGAUCAGUAGCUGGUCUGAGAGGAUGGCCAGCCACACUGGGACUUGAGACACGGCCCAGACUCCUACGGGAGGCAGCAGUGGGGAAUCUUGCGCAAUGGGCGAAAGCCUGACGCAGCCAUGCCGCGUGGAUGAUGAAGGUCUUAGGAUUGUAAAAUCCUUUCACCGGGGACGAUAAUGACGGUACCCGGAGAAGAAGCCCCGGCUAACUUCGUGCCAGCAGCCGCCGUAA
This 448-nucleotide ribosomal RNA is filed under the name uncultured bacterium. RNAcentral describes it as "partial 16S ribosomal RNA". It matches the Rfam family "Bacterial small subunit ribosomal RNA", at positions 28 to 523 of the family's 1533-position model. The record is from RNAcentral.